UGUUUUCCCAAAGUCUAUUAUGCUAGCGACAUAUAAAGAAACAAGUAGAAAAGUUCAACAAAAAAAGAGAAAAAACGGGAACAGUAACCCUUCGUUGCCUCUGAGUUCUCUCCAUCUCAAUCCAAAGUUCUCACUCAAUCCCGCUCAAUCGCUCUCUCAUGUAUCCAAACCUCUCUCUCUCAAAAUUGCUCACCAGCGAACCCUCUCUCACUCGAACUCAAAGAAAACUCCCUCUGCUCUCGCGUCCCCAACCUUCACCGUCAACCUUCGCUCAUCCUUCACAAUCCCUCACACAAUCGCCCAAAACCCUCUCACUCGCGCUCUCUCUAUCUCGACUCAACGUAUCUCUCUCGCCCUCAACCCCAUUCCCUAAUGCAUAAAACCCACAGCUUAAAGGAACCUGAAGUUUACCUCCGAUAGCGAUUUGGUAGUGACGAUGAACGAUGAAGCCAAAACUUCACUCUUUCGCCUCUCCGAUCCAGGUUAGGGUUUCAAUUGGUACUCAGAAGCUCAAAGAAGCAAAAAAUUCAGAAGUGCUUUUUUGGUGCUCAGAGUUGGAGUGCCUAUUUUGAUGAUUGGACUUGAGAAAGUGAAAAAAAAUGGAGCAUUCUUGGACAUAGGAAAUUCAUCUCUCAGUGAUGUUGAGUCUGUGUAUGUUCACUGCAGGUUACCAUGUUCCCAUGAGCAUUUUGGUCUAUAACCAUGGAGUUGGUUUGUUGUAUUUUGGUAACAGGUGAAUUGGUUCAUAGAUGCAUUGGUUCUAUUAUUGGAUUGUUUGCUGCAAGUGUAACGACGACAUCAGAGCUAUGACUGGGAUUCUGGAUGUCGAUUUCCAUUUGAUUUUGCUUAGGUACUUUAAGGGUCUUCAAUAUAUUUGAAUGUGUACCAUUUGAAGUGACACCAUCAAUUUCACCAGCAGUCCCUUUCCUGCUACUAAGAGCAUGAGCAGAUGGGUGAAGAGGGUUUCGCCGUUGACGAGGAACAAGAGAGGGUUAUUAACAAACAGGCUCGCCAAGUAUGUUCAGUUUUGUAUCCAUGUCACGUGCUGCUUGAUUUUCCAAAGAGCUCGACAGCAUGUGCGGAGGAGGCACGAGUCUGGCAGUCAACAACCACCAGUGUAUGUGGUGUUGGAUGCUGCAAUGGUUCCACUUGGGGAAGAUAUGGGAACACGUCCAGAUGCAAUAGCAGGUAACACUGCACAUUUCUCACCAGAAACAACAAUGGGCGCACUCUCUAUAGUUAAUGAUGAAUUGGAAUUCUCUACAGAGCAUUCUGAAAUCUUUUCCUGGUGAACUAUGGUCAUUCUCUACAUCUUUAGGAGACGGAGUCUCUUCAACAGAUUGAGCGAUUCCGGACUAUUUCACCCCGAAAUGACUGACUGAAGCUAAACUACAAGGUGGAGCUUUUAGCUCAGAAGUCGCUGAAGGUUUUGAAGUAAUGAAAUUUUCAACUCGGCUUUUGCUUAAGUAUAGAUCCACUAACAUGUUUGAGUUGGUAAGAGUACUCAAAAUCCUAUGAUCUGUUACGAAAACUCGAAUCUGAGACGAUGAAACUUUGCUCGGCUGAAGAAAUGCUUUCCAAGUGUCUCCUCUCUCAUGAUAGGAAAAAAAACCACCAAAGAUCCAGAACAUGAAAUUAAGAGAGAAGAGAUGAACAAGAGGAAGAAAAAAAAGCUUCCAUGGGUUUUUGUUUGGCUAAUGUGCAGGAUGAUCUAGUUCUAGAGAGAAAAUGACUGCAAGUAAUCCAUUUGUAUACUGCCAUUGAAUUUGCACCGAGGAAGGAUCUUCAACCUUGCGAUUGCUGAACUCACCUAUCAGUCCUUUUAUAGCCUCUUGAAAGAAAAGAACAGUGAUAAGUAUGCCAAAUAAAUCCCCUGCAAAUCUUGUAAAUCUAGUGAUAAUAUCGCAAGUAUUAAAAACUGCAAGCAAAAUUAACAUGAACGCCGUCCCAAAAACAAACCCAACCAGCCCAAGCUAGAAAGAGCUCAGCCCCCAAAUCAGGUGUAUUUUUGCAGAAAUUGUAGAGAUGAGUAUACAUUAUAACAGCAGGUUCCGCAACUCCUAAAAUCAACAAAGGCUGGCCACCUAUAAUUGAGUAGAUAACUCCACAAAUAGCAGUAGACGCUAAUGUUUCUACCGCGCUCAAGCUUCCAUUUUUCUGCAGCAGUAAACUCAGUUCCUCUAACUGUCUGUGGUUUGUUUCGACUGGUUUUGCAGGCUGUUGCUGCUGCUUGGUGGUAAAGUCAUGUUUGCUUAAUCUUGAAAUUGUUCCUCUUCUGGUUUACAGACGACUCAACCAUCGAAGUUGAAUUAACGGGUCUGCAGGAUGCCGCUCGGUUGUCUGGUAUGGGGUGAGUAAUCAUAAAAAAAUCAGACCCUGAUUCUGCUGUUGAUGAGCCACUGCGUCGCUCCUUUAAUGAUUGUAACUGAAAGGAGUCAAAAUUGUGCCGUUCAUUGGACGCCCUGGUGAUUUGCCUCACAAAAGUUCCCUCCGCAUUUACGUACAAGCUUCAUGAUAUUAUGAUCAUUCCAUGGACCCUUGUUAGUCCUAAGACACCCACCAUCACGGGAACAUGUACACGAACCACCUAGAAAAUUCGGCAACUGACUAGAGUCGAUGACUUCCUGUAAUUUAUAUAGAGACUUAGAUUCAGGAAUCUGUAUCUUUGCAGUAGUUUUGGGAUCAAGAAAUUUCUGUGCAGCAGGCCAAAGCAUCCUCUUAAAGCCAGUACCAGCAUUCACAAUGUGCAUUUGAUGUAAUGUCUCAGGAUAGUAGCAGCUAUCUAUUUUAGCUAUGGAAGACAAGAGAUUUGUUGCAGUAUGUGCCUUUUUUAGAGUCAAAAUGAACUAGUAACUCAAAAAGGAGUAUACCUAGGCGGUAAAUGUUUGAUGAUGUAAUGUAAUGCUUAUUAUAUGUAAUAAGAAUACACAAAAUUUGGAUCCUUGAUGUAACUUGGAACAAAUGUAGUAAUGGAUUAUGCAGACUUCUGACAGGAAUAUGAACAACCCUUGAAUGUUA
Long non-coding RNA from Lathyrus oleraceus (garden pea), 3018 nucleotides. RefSeq lists it as uncharacterized. Lineage: Eukaryota; Viridiplantae; Streptophyta; Magnoliopsida; Fabales; Fabaceae. The record is from RefSeq and is a predicted model, not a curated record. The transcript has 9 exons.